RNAcentral lists this transfer RNA (86 nucleotides) under Candidatus Sumerlaeota bacterium. Its description in RNAcentral is "tRNA-Leu". It matches the Rfam family "tRNA". Rfam says of the family: Transfer RNA (tRNA) molecules are approximately 80 nucleotides in length. Their secondary structure includes four short double-helical elements and three loops (D, anti-codon, and T loops). The record is from RNAcentral. Lineage: Bacteria; Candidatus Sumerlaeota.
GCCGGAGUGGUGGAAUUGGCAGACACAAGGGACUUAAAAUCCCUCGAUGCUUGCGCGUCGUGCCGGUUCGAUUCCGGCCUCCGGCA